UUUACCUAAUAAAAGGAAUGAAAUAUUUCAUGACACUGUCUAAAAAUGUUUGAAAAUUUGGGAGGAAAAAUCCACAAGAAUACAAGAUCUUUCCAGAAUUCCUAAACCUAAACCCUGGAAUUUUCCUAAUUCAUAAACCUUGAAAUUAAGCUUUGAAUAUGGGAACCUGAAUAUGGACGAAAUAGGGAAAUCACCGUAAGACUUCAAAUGUAUGUCUCCCUUACUACCCCUGUCUCUCACAAAAGUCUUGAAUAACUAAUAGGCAGGGGCACUAUCAAUUCACAGACUCAGGAAUCCUUACCUACAACCAAUCAAUGCUGAUAAACCUUAUUCUAAAAUGUGCUAAAAAAUUUUCUUAAUGGAAACACAGGAAUAUGCCCUUCUAUAUUUCCAUGACUUUUCCUUUUUGUCCUAUGUAAGGCCAUAUGAUGAUGUUAUUACUCAUUUUAGUAGUCAGACUAUUCAAUAUCCAAAGUAGGAAAAUAAAUUAACCUAUAGAAUGAUUUUGAGAUGGCAGUGAUGUUUACUGAAUUUUUAAAACAGCAGAGACAUCAGCUUCCUGGGCGGGGGGGGGGAGGCAGAACAGCAUAAAGCAGUAAAGCUUUAGUGUCAGAGUCCUUGGUUCGGAUUCCAGCUCUGACACUUGUGAGCUUUGCUAUGUCUCAAUUUCUUUAUCUAUAAAAUGGGGAUUGAAACUACAUAAACAACCCUGUGAGGUAAAAUCAAAUCAGCAUUUUUCACACCUGGCUGGUCACAAGAAUCACCUUGGAAAUUUAUUAGAAACAUAAAAUCUCAGGCCCCACUCCAUACUUACAGGGAUGUGGCCCAAGAAUUUGUAUUUUUUAACAAAUUCCAAAGAUGAGCCUUACAUACCAGUCAUAAUUUAGGAACCAUGGAAAAAAAAUUUAUGUAUGUUUUUACAUAUUCUUAUAGAAAAUUCUUGUCUUUAUAUAUUUAUGUAACUUACCAGUAUCCUAGUACAAUACGUUCUAAGUGUUCAAUAAAUACUUGAUGUCAUUAUCAAUAAUUACUUUAAAAUAGGAGAUAAAAUUGAUCAUUUUGUAACAGGAUGGCCACUAAGCAGUGUUGCAGAACUACUUUGUAUAAUCCUCUCACCAAAAAUGAGACUUAAAGCAUGAUACUAUACUGUUUGAGACAGUGAGAGAUGAUAUAAACUAAGUUCCAAAUUGAUGACAACCCCUCUUUUGUACAACAUAGUUUGCAACAGAUGGAAAGCAUAAAGUUAGGCAUGUUUAUAUUUUUCCUAACAAAGCUUGACCAUUCCAGAUCAUUCCAUCACAAAACCAUGCAAAUUCACCACAAAGCAAUUCAAGUGCUAAAUAAAUGUGUACAGUAUCAUUAAUACGGUAACAAAUAUCCAAAGCCCACAGAAAUGGAUAUUCAUUGAAGAUUCCUGAUUCUCAGUUAUUUAUGAAUAAUAACUGCAUCUUUCCUUUUUAAAGUCUAAACGUUUGAAUUAAUUAUCAUUUCUAAAUAAAAUGGCCUCAUGUGUUAAGAUACUGAGACUUUUAUUUUUUUAUUUAUUUAUUUUUAUUUAUUUAUUUAUUUAUUUACUUAUUUAUUUAUUUAUUUUUUAACGUUUAUUUACUUUUGAGACAGAGAGAGACAGAGCAUGAACGGGGGAGGGUCAGAGAGAGAGAGGGAGACACAGAAUCUGAAAUAGGCUCCAGGCUCUGAGCUGUCAGCACAGAGCCUGACACGGGGCUCGAACUCACGAACCGUGAGAUCAUGACCUGAGCCAAAGUCGGACGCUCAGCAAACUGAGCCACCCAGGCGCCCCGAUACUGAGCCUUUUAAAAGAAAGUCCAACCACACCUUUGUGCUAAUAUUAUGUAAAUAUCAAUGCUUUCUAUAAAAUUACAUGAUUUUUUUAAGUUUUAUUAAGAAACUUAACAAAUUUGUUUUUAAAUUGAGUUUCCAGUUUGUUUCGAUCAUCACACAAAUCUAGGGUAAAUUCAGACACUACUACAAGUACUAAAUACUCUCCCUUCUAAAUACAAACAUAAAUAAAAAAUAGUUGCCACCAAGAGAAGAUAAAGUGUACAGCCUAUGACCAUUUGGAGUAAACUACAUAUAUUUAUUAGGCAUUUAUUUUUUUAUUUUAAAAUAUUUUGGAGACAAUUUUUAAUAAACUCAUAACUUAGUUACUAGUGUGCAAAAGUCAGAAUAUUUCAGCUGCACAAAGUAGCAUGUUUACCUAAUUUGCAGAAUAAGGUAUUUUACUUUUGGGUUUAUUUCUCCAUACACACAUCUUAAAAGAUUAUGGGGAUCAAUAAUCUAAUGCUAACAGAUUGCUUCAAGUACUAAGGAAGAAGGAUGUUACAUAAAUAAAGCUUAAAGGGAAAGAAAUUAUUUUGGUCAUUAAAAUAUAGGACUCCACCAUUUUUUUCUAUCAAGUUUUAACCAUUAAUCCUAGUGGUAUCAGAGAAACAAAGUUAAACCAAGAGAGCCAGAAGGCCAAGGUAAUCUGAUCUUAAGAGUUAAAAGAAACACAGUAAAAACUACAGUUCAAAGAUGUCUCACACAAGUAUGCCAAAGCUUUCACCACUCCUCAGCCUGCAGAACAUUAACUACUUAUAUUAAAAGAGCUUGUAAACCACUGUACCAGCACCACUGCCUACAUGACAGGGAAUGAAGAAAAUUUCAUGAAUUUAAUUUGAUUACCCAACAUAUCUACAUUUUCAGGUAUAUUUGGGGUCAGGAGAGUGAAAUUGAGAGUAUUACAAAAGUUUUUAGUCUUCAAAAAAAAAAAAAAAGCUUUUAGUCCUCAGUACAUGCUUGAUAUACUGCAAACAAUAACGAUGCACCUGCAACUACCAAUGACAAGUAAUGAGAAGCACUGAUUAUCUGCUCUUCUUCCCAAAACAUUUUUAUGCAUAUAUCUUCCUGGCGCCUUUGUGAAACCUCUUUUUUCCACACUUUCUUGAUUAUCUUGCUAAAUCCCUCCCUGUGGUUAAAAGGAUAAUUUGGCAAGCUGUCUUGAAAAAGGCACAAAAAUUUAAGAAUGGAAAAAAGAAUGGAAGGAAAGAAAGGGUUGUGGUAUUGCUUCUCCAUCAUCAAUUAAUUCUCAAGAAACAAAGCAGGGAGAAUCUCCCACUCGAAAGUACUACAAUGACAAUAAAACUGUCCAAAGAACAGGAAUACCCUUUGUUCCACUCUACUAGCUCAACUCCUGAGUAAGAGAAGUUCAGGAUAUAGCACUUAGUACGUUUGGAAAACUAGCUAUAGUUCUCAUAACAACAAACAUUCCAAAAGUUAACUCCAAAAGAAAAUGGUUUAUAGCAAUUUGGUGGGUUUCACCGCAGUGGUAGUUCUUUAAAAUAUAAAAUUUAAAAGAGCACAAAGUACAAGACAAUAACUUACUUGAGUUGGAACAAGUACAGGAGGGUAGGCCAUCUUAUGAUGCCUGUACACCCAAAACGCACAAAUAACAAUCCCCGCAAUUAACAUAAGUGGCACCAAGGAAUAGAGCAAUAUGUUGUAAUAGGGUGGCUUAGGUGUAACUGGGUUCGAAGUAGCUGUGGAAAAUGGAAGGAAAAAAAACAAUUCAGAUUUGGCCUACAAAAUUCCACAAGAAAUAUUUAUCAUGGUAUCAAAUUUUAGGAGAAGGUAUGAGUAAAUUAUUCCAUCAACACAAAUAUGCUUUGUUUUCAGUGUACUAGUUGAACAGACCUAUGUAUUUUCCCUGUAAACUUACGCUGUGUAACUUCCAUCUCUGGAAAGUAAGAAAACCUUUCGUUACACAUAUUGCCCUCACAGCAACAAAAAUAUACUUCAGGGCUGUCCUUUUUUUCUAUACAAUCAGUCCUAUAAACAAACAAAGGAGAAAUAAUUAAAAUCAACAUUAUAUUGAAUCUACAA
This 3882-nucleotide long non-coding RNA is filed under the name Lynx pardinus (Iberian lynx). Lineage: Eukaryota; Metazoa; Chordata; Mammalia; Carnivora; Felidae. The record is from RNAcentral.